Molecule: ribosomal RNA, 428 nt
Filed under: uncultured delta proteobacterium
Lineage: Bacteria; Deltaproteobacteria
Description: bacterial SSU rRNA
Rfam family: Bacterial small subunit ribosomal RNA
Source: RNAcentral
GAGUUUGAUCGUGGCUCAGAGCGAACGCUGGCGGCGUGCCUAACACAUGCAAGUCGAACGUGAACGGGAGCAAUCCUUAGUAAAGUGGCGUACGGGUGAGUAACACGUAGGUAAUCUACCUUACUGUCUGGAAUAACCUGCCGAAAGGCGGGCUAAUACUGGAUAGAGCGACGGGAGUCGUAAUGACUCUUUCGGGAAAGGGAGCUCGAUAAGAGCCUUCGCAGUAAGAUGAGCCUGCGUCUGAUUAGUUAGUUGGUGGGGUAACGGCCUACCAAGACGAUGAUCAGUAGCUGGUCUGAGAGGAUGAUCAGCCACACUGGAACUGAAACACGGUCCAGACUCCUACGGGAGGCAGCAGUGGGGAAUCUUGCGCAAUGGACGAAAGUCUGACGCAGCCACGCCGCGUGAGUGAAGAAGGCCUUCGGGUU